RNAcentral lists this ribosomal RNA (206 nucleotides) under uncultured bacterium. RNAcentral describes it as "partial 16S ribosomal RNA". It matches the Rfam family "Bacterial small subunit ribosomal RNA", at positions 568 to 774 of the family's 1533-position model. The record is from RNAcentral.
UGCGUAGGUGGUAUGGCAAGUCAGAAGUGAAAACCCAGGGCUUAACUCUGGGACUGCUUUUGAAACUGUCAGACUAGAGUGCAGGAGAGGUAAGCGGAAUUCCUAGUGUAGCGGUGAAAUGCGUAGAUAUUAGGAGGAACAUCAGUGGCGAAGGCGGCUUACUGGACUGAAACUGACACUGAGGCACGAAAGCGUGGGAGCAAACA